RNAcentral lists this long non-coding RNA (199 nucleotides) under Elaeis guineensis (African oil palm). RNAcentral's name for it is "long non-coding RNA (EGUI_LNC035046)". The record is from RNAcentral. Lineage: Eukaryota; Viridiplantae; Streptophyta; Magnoliopsida; Arecales; Arecaceae.
ACCAGAGAUUAUAGUCAAAAUCUUCUUCCCCUAGAUCAAUGAUCUCAUAGAUCUCAUCCUAGAUCAGGUUUACAUCAACGAAUUGGUCCUUUUUGUUUUCAAGAUUGAAAAUAUUAAGAUCAAUGAUCAUGUUUCCAAAUGAGAGCUUCAUGAGUCCAUUGCGAUAAUUGAUUAGAGCAUUGAUGGUUGCUAAGAAUGG